RNAcentral lists this long non-coding RNA (4408 nucleotides) under Sus scrofa (pig). Its description in RNAcentral is "lncRNA (ENSSSCG00040033563.1)". The record is from RNAcentral. Lineage: Eukaryota; Metazoa; Chordata; Mammalia; Artiodactyla; Suidae.
CAGCAGCUGCCAGCCUACACCACAGCCACAGCAACACAGGAUGUGAGCCACGUCUGUAACCAAUGCCAUAGCUCUCAGCAACUUCAGAUCUCACUGAGAAAGGCCAGGGAUCCACCCGCAUCGUCAUGGAUACUAACCAGUUGGAUUCAUUUCCGCUGCACUACAACAGGAACUACUAUUUCAUAGAUUUUAUUGGUAAUUUCUUUCACUAUUGCCUAAAGCUCAGAAUCUAAAUAUCGUAGUGAUAGAUACAAAGUACCUGCGUAACACCUGGGAUUCAUUACACCUGUAACCAUAUAUGACAUUUCACUACACUAUUAAAACUGUAUUUUAAAUACAGAGUCUAAAUACAAAGUGCUUUUAUAUAUUCCAAAAUAUUUUUCUCCAUGGCACAAUGAAAACUUUGUUUUUAUCAACAUUUUAUGAUAGAUCGUUUUAAAAGCCACAUAUUCUAUCACAAAAGCAAAACAUUUGAAAACAACUGCCAUAUUUCAACUUUAUAAUCUUUGUAAAACUAGAUGCUUAUUUGGGUCAGAAAAUUGUGUCACUUUUGCUGAUCACCCAGCAAAAACCUGUCAAGUGACUUUCAGGUUUAUAUAAUCUAAUGCCAUUAUAAGCAAUUACAAGGCCUAAUGGACGCUGGCUGUGUGUACCUCUGGCAUUGCCCUGAAUUUACAUCGUUAGUCACUUCCUGAAGUCAUGUUAGCUUUCCUUCAUCGACUGCCCUCUCGGGUUUUUAGGCCAUCAUUCUUAAGAGCAUUUCACAGAGCAAUUCAUCACCUUCCUAUGUUUUCCAGUUAAACAUAUACAUGCUUUGAUUCCUUAAAUAUGUCAUGUUUGGGCAAAACUAAUUAAUGAGUGGAGGAAAAAAAUCAGAAAUUAUUGCCUUUGAGGAUGGGAGGGUAAAGGAUGUCUGGUAAUGGACCUGAGGGAACUUUCUGGGGGGAUGAUUGUGUUCUUUGUCCUGACAGAGGCUUGGGUUAACAGGUAUGGACGUAAGUCAAAGCUCAGCAAAUGUUCACUUAAGAUCUAGCUGUGUCCGCUACAUUUCAAUUUUACCUCAAGAAGAAAAAAAACUGGCAACUAUUGCCGAAUUCUAGAUGAGGACACACAUGGAGAAGUAUUUAGGCAGAAAUGCAUCAAAAAUAACUAAGAUGGAUUAAUGGAUGAAUAGAGGGGUGAACACAUGGACAGAAACAUAACUCAAAAUGUUCACUAAAGUGAGAAGUAGGUAACCUGGUGUUCACGGUAAAAUUCUUUCAACUUCUCCAUGUUCAAAAAUUUUGAUAAUAAAAUGUUCUGCGAUUUACAAGAUCAUUUUUCACAAUCCUUUUUACUUUAAAAUUCACCCAGUAAAUUACGAGGAAUCAGGAAGUAUUCCCAAAGAUUCUGAACUAUGAUCUUUGUUGCCCACUGAUUUGAGUAUUUUAUUUUUUUAUAAAAAUCGAGCCCAAUAGUUAAGACUGGAUAAAAAUCUAGUUAAAUUAGGACACUCUUUCAAUUCAUUCCACAAAUACUCCUCAAACACCUAUGUACCAGAUUAUCUCUAAGUGUUAAAGUCAAAGGACAACCUGAUUGUAAUACGAUGUGAUUUAGACUAUGGGUUUCAGGAAUGUGUCUGGAAGGGCAUUUUCUGGAACAGGAGGGAGAAGUAAAAUUUUCCCGGAUGGAGAAAAUUCAUUCUAGUCUGUGGGAAAUUGCGUAUGUGAGCAUGUAACACAAAAACUUUAUUUUACAGGUAAGAGUAACAUGGCAGUUGCUUCAUGAAUAUAUCAAGAUAUUUAAAAUACAUGUACAUAUGUUAGAUCCUCCUUUUACUGUCUUAUAUACUGCUUUUGAAAGAUUCUGCAAUCUCUUCAGUCACCAAUAUAAUCUAAGCACCUUUUGUUUACCAUUUAACCCAAGCUUCAAGUAUUUCACUUUAAAUAAUUAAAGGUAUGACCCCAGCUGAUUUUAUUACUUCUUAAGGACUUUUUUCUAUAACAAAUUUUACCUGGUAAUCACUUCAAAAAACACUGUUCUAAAGUCAUAAAAUCCCAAGAGUCAAUACUCUAGGAUUAGAAAAGUUCCCUAGACUAGGCAGCAAAUAAAAACACAAGCACCUCAGAGUUCCCAUUGUGGUACAGCGGUAAUGAAUCCAUGAAUCCGACUAGUAUUCAUGUGGAUGUGGGUUCAAAACCUGGCCUUGCUCAGUGGGUAGGGGACCGGUGUUGCUGUGAGCUGUGGUCAACUUAGCCCACUAUAAAAUGCACAAAGGACAAAUGUCAAAGUAUUGUCCAAACUGUCUAUCGUCUAGUGAGAUAUUUUAAAUAUUUUACAUCUUCCUUUUUAAGGCAUAUGGACGGUCCCAAUUCCUUUAAUGAGCAGUUUGCCUCUUUAACCAACUCAAGCAAAAUUCUAGCACCUGUGGGUUUACAUCAAUGUGUCUUAUCAUCUGCAGAAUGUAGGUAUCACUAUAUACUCAUGUGCUUAAUGUAAGAAUUAAAUGAGAUUUAAAUGUGGUUCGUGCUUACUGUUCAAUAAAGAGUAAUUAACAAUAAAAAUGUUUAAAUGAAUACACAUAUGCAGGCAAUUGCACAGACAUGCUUUUUAACCUGGUCCAUGAGUUAAGGUGAGCCAGAAUUCAUUUUAUCUUUUCAGUUUAGUAACAAAUUCCUAAUUCUUAGUCUCACUGCAUUACUGACCACUUCAGGGUCAUGAGAGUUUUUCAUUUGCUCCCUCUCAGAUCUCAACUCCUUACUUCACUGCUCACCCAAAACUGGCACUCUUUAAGGAGUUCACUAGCAAAGACCUUAAAAUUCUUUUAUCAUUUAUCUGUUAGUGGCUGAGAAUAGAAAUAUCACUGGACCUUCACCUCAAAUAAUCCUGAAAAAAAAAUUCUAAGUGACUGAGUUGGGCUAAAGGUUCGGACUCCAGAUGCUUUGUCAUUUGUCUCAAACCAUUUUCUAUGGGUACCUUCAAAUGAUCUCCAGGCUGAAUCAGAUUUUUCUGCUGAGGGACUAUGAAAAAGUCAGGUAGGAAAGGUAUUAUUGAGAGUUCUAAAACUGAAUGCUGCAUUAUUAAAGGAGAUGAAGAUAUUCAGAAAUUCUAGGGAAAAGAGAUUUCUAGGACAAAAAAAAUUAAAUGACAAACCUGAUUUCAUCCAUUAGUACAUAAAAUAAUGGCUUACUUACUAUUUGAUAGAAAACUACUAGAAACUACUAGAAAACUAAUAGAAAAAUAUUAUCACUUGGAGUUAAAAAGAAGUGAGAAUUUGAGGUUAUACUUUGAAAGGCAAUUAAGUGACCCAAGUUAAUAAAUUUUAAACAGAAAAGGAUGUUUCUGGCAGAGCACCAGGACAGUCCAUUCAUUGAGAACAAUUUUGCAAAAUGAUCUUUACCAUUGAUCAGCUUAUUAAUCUCCAUGCUAUAUUUCUACUAGGAAAAAAGCAUUCGUCAUAUUUACCACUGAAUUAUAAAUCUAGCCCAACAUAUCAUAAAGAUUUCAAAACAGUUAAAUCUUCCUUAAUGCCCCAGAAGCAAAGACAGAGCCUCAGGCUUAGUUCUAUAGGUAAGUCCGCAACACUGACCUUUCCCUCUCAAGAAACAAGUUUCUUUUGCCGGAAUGUUAACUAUAUUCAUUUAAAAACUGGAAUGCUAUCAGUACGGAUUUGCCCUUUUUCAUUUUUUCAAGAUAUGCUCUUAAUCCAGGUGUAGGCUGUGAGCAACCACACACAGGCUGCAUGCCUCGUUUGCAAAGUCCCAUCAGAAGACUGUACACAUUUGAACCAUCAUGUUGCUUUUUUUUACUGCAACACUCAGAGUGAUUCUCUUUCUGUUCCCUGAUCUUGUAUUUCAAUCAUCAUGAAAGUAAUAGAGCAAUUAGCAAAUGAGACUCUGCCUUCCUUGUCUAUAUAAAAAAAUAGAUGCUUGGUUUCUUAUGUAAAUAAGACAUAAGGCAAUAAAAAAGUGAAUACCAAAAAUGUUAAAGGAAGGGUUUCGACAGAAUUUUUUUAAAGCAAUAAGGGCUAGGAGAAAAAUAAUAUAAAAAAAUUGAAUGUCUAAAAAUACUUAAGUGAAAUCCUAUGGUCCUAGAAAAAAAAAUCUUUAAAAAAUGAUUAAUAUGUGAAAUAAACUAAUCUAUUAUUUCAAAAAGAAACUAAACUUUUUUCUGAGUAAAAGGAGAACAAUCUUCAUUAAAAACUUUAAAAAAUACUUUGAUAGAGUACCUUUCUAAAGAAAUGGGCAGAUGCCUAAUAAUUUUAUAUUUACCCAAGAAAAUAUGUUUUUUUUUUGUUUGUUUGUUUGUUGCUGACAAUGUGCUUUAUUUUAAAACCAGAACAGAAUAAAAAGUUCAAAGGAAUACUUUCCCAAGUACAAAAAAAAAGUUGGCGAUAAAGCAAGCCACAGCUAAAACGACUAUUCCCGAA